UUCCUAAGUGUUGAGUUCAGUUCAGGGCAGCAUAUCUGUUCCACUUUGAGAUGUCGAAAUGGGCUGGGGAGAUGACUGAAUAGAAAGUAUUACUCUAUCAUUUACUUUCCAACCUACAAAA
Molecule: small nucleolar RNA, 121 nt
Organism: Tupaia belangeri (northern tree shrew)
Lineage: Eukaryota; Metazoa; Chordata; Mammalia; Scandentia; Tupaiidae
Source: Ensembl